UACGUAGGUGGCAAGCGUUACUCGGAAUCACUAGGCGUAAAGCGCAGGUAGGCGGUUCGGUAAGUCUUUUGUGAAAGCUCCUGGCUCAACUGGGAGAGGUCAAAGGAAACUACCGGGCUAGAGUUUGGUAGGGGAUACUGGAAUUCCUGGUGUAGCGGUGAAAUGCGUAGAUAUCAGGAGGAAUACCUAUGGCGAAAGCAGGUAUCUGGGCCACAACUGACGCUGAGCUGCGAAAGCUAGGGGAGCAAACAGG
RNAcentral lists this ribosomal RNA (253 nucleotides) under uncultured bacterium. Its description in RNAcentral is "partial 16S ribosomal RNA". It matches the Rfam family "Bacterial small subunit ribosomal RNA", at positions 524 to 776 of the family's 1533-position model. The record is from RNAcentral. RNAcentral also lists the same sequence under 1 other name.